AUCUGAAAAGACUAUAUAAGCCAGGCCCCCUGGCCCCUGGAGAGCAUACCUCUUCUACAGAAUCAAAGUUAGGGUUUCAAUUCUUCAUCCGAGUAGAGAGGAUCCCUCUAGUUCUUCUAGUUCUACCUCUAGUUCAUCUAGUUCUAGUUCUGGUUUAUCUAGUUCUAGUUCUAGUUCCUCUAGUUCUAGUUCUAGUUAGUUCUAGUUGUAAUCUAGAAAAUAGGGAGAGAGAAGAGGAGAGCGGAGGAGGAGGAGCCGGAUCUGUCGGAUCUUCCUCAACAUUAUACUUUUGCAGCAUCUGGUUCAUUCUUCAUCGUUCUCCAGGUUCUUCAAUUCAUAUUUCCUGAGUUCUUUAAUUACUUUUAUUUACAUUCAAGUUAUUUAUUGGAUUCCUGCUUGCAUCAAGUGCUCUAGUCUUUAUAACGCUAGAGUAGUAAUUAAUAGAUUAGACGUGGUGUUUAGUCUUGCAAUUACCUGGAAUUGCACCCAAUCCUGCGGAUUGUUGUGGUAGCCUUAGGGUAGUGACAGCCCUAACGGUCGACGUAUUCCACCACGUUCGGAUCGGUGUUUGUAGGACCGUAGUCAGACCUUCCUAGCCCCCUUCUCAUCUCUUUCUGUGGUUAGUGCUCUGAUGUCCCGAUAUAGAUAAUCUAGAAGUAAUUCUUGAUUCUUAGAUCAACUAGAGAACUCUCAGGAAACUUCCUGUCUUCCCACCAAAAAUCAUUAUAUAGUUAUCCUUGGGCGAUCUUGGAUCUUAAUUAGUACACUCACGUUCUCUGUGGAAAAUCGAUACUCUGGAAUACUCCCGGGUGAAAGCUACAUCGGUAUCCGUGCGCUUGCGGAUUUUUCUGUUUGCGUUUAAAAUACCCAACAAGCUUUCUGGCGCCGUUGCCGGGGAACGGUAGCUGUGCUAGUUUCGAACCAAGUCGUCCGUGUAUCCUUUUUCUUUUCUUUUUUUACCACACUCACCUUAUCAUUUUCACCAUACCACAUGGAUUUCACUCUAAGCAUUAAUGAGCAUGGAAUUUAUUUCAUAGCCACUUCAUUUACUCCAUGCUCAUAUGCAACAUCUUCACAAUCCAUUGGUCUCUCCAACAUCACCACAUUCGAGAUCUCCAACCCCCACUUCCUUUCUAUUUAUAAAAACUUUAAAAGGGCGGUUGUCGAUGCAUAUGUCUAUAUUAAAUAUUGCAGAUCUCACUGAGUUGAUCUUGAUAUAGGUCAGCGUUGGAGGGGAAACCACUUCACUGGCAUAAAUUGAUGGUUUCCCAAGGACAAGCUUAGUGUCCUAAAAUAAGCGCUGAUCAGAUCGUAACAUGAGCUUUUAAUUAUUUGCAACAUUACCUUGUGUAUUGAGCAUAUAAGGAUAAUUGUAAAAAAAUUCCUUCGUGUAUUCUUGUCACUAACCUUUCCAGGAUUGGAGCAAGAAGAUCGGAUGAAUGACAAGUACAAGGUAUGUCCAACCAAUCAUCAUACAACAUUGAAUUAAAUUCAUCCAAACUUGAAUUUUGCAAAAUUCAAGCUUGGGGAGUACUUUACAUAAAAACAUGCUUUGCCUUGUUGCUAUGUUGGUUGUCCCUACCUUUGAGACAUGCUCAAUUUGUUAAAUACUAAUCACACUACUUCAUCUCCACUUGAGUAGAACUCUAUAAAUGCUCUCAUGCUACCUUUAUUUGCUUUAGUAUAUGUCUAGGUUUGGAGUAGUUUCAUUUAUCUCUUAAUUAAGCAGGGUGCUUAGUUUAGGGCUGAUGAUCUUACUUCCAAGGGAGCUUAAAUUAAGCAUGAUGCUUAGGUUAAAAUGCCCUCCUAGUAGAUAUUGGAUAUUUUGUUGGACUAACCCCUGCAGGAAAACUUUCAAUAUCGACCUAGGAAGUCCUGAGAUAAACUCACAUUGGAGACAAAGAGAGAGACGAUGAAGGUUAACAAUUUACACAAGGAAGGCAUAGCUCACAAGAGAUGAUCCAUGGAGGGUGCCACAAACACGAUGCACAACUGCUAAGAAAGGAAAGCUUCCACAAGGUGAUACUGUACCAUCACUCUUCAAGUAAGGUAACAUCUUAAGGUACUUGGCUAUCACUUUUUAUAAGUUUUUCCUUGGUUCUGGCGUUCACAUGAAUAAAAGAGACCAACAUGAAUGAUUUACAACUCUAGAUUAACCAACCCAGUCGAUUCAAUAUGUUUAGUCCUUCCACCUUUGUGAUCCCACACUCCUAAUCAUAUAAGCAAAAAGGUUGCACAUUCUAUCUCUAGAAGAUAUAAACAAAACAUAAGUAUAUAUAUUUUAUCUUUCCAUUAGGUUGAGCGAUCUGAUCUGACAAAUGUUUUAAAUACUACACUCAUGAUCUUAUUAUCCAUCAACUUUGUCUUGCUCACUAUGAUUAAGGUUAGAGAAGAACAAAUACACUUUUGGUUCUGUUGGUGUUUUCCACCAACGGGGCCCAUGCACUUGAUCUCUACCUUUUCUCUAUGAGUAGGUACACUUCGAGCCAAAUAUGAAGGACUUUUACAACUCUUAGACUCUACCAAGUGAAGAACCUAGAUCUACGAGCACAAACAUAUUGGAGAUACUGGACACUCAGGCAAUCACUACCCUAAGAUGCUUGAGGACGUAAACUACAUCAACAACAACUACUACUACUACAACCGUCCUCAACAAAAUCAAGGUUGGAAUCAACAGAGGCCUAACUACUCACAGAGGCGAUCCAGGACGCCCUGUCAUCCCGAUCUCCAUCAGCAUGGUGGACUUCCCAGAAGCACUCUGCGACUUUGGCUCUAGUGUCAACAUUAUGCCCAGGGUACUCUAUGAAAAAUUCUUUACACAUCCUUUAUUAGAAACAACCAUGUGUUUGCAGCUUGCAGAUCGUACGCUAAGUUUCCCAAAGGGAAAUAUUGAAGAACCUCUACGUCUGAGUUGGUACCUUAUACGCUCCAGCAGACUUCGUGGUGAUAGAGACUGAUACUGAUGAGAGGGCACCCAUCAUCUUAGGGAGGCCAUUCCUAAACACCUCAGGACCUGUCAUCUACGCUAGUGCUGCCAAGAUCAGUUUCUACAUCAAGGGGAGGAAUGAGACGUUUUCCUUCAAGAACAAGACUACACAAAUCUCAGAGCAAUCCCGACAUGAACCAAGGAAGAGGACCAACAAGAGGAACAAGAACAAGCAAAUGUGGACCAAGUCAGCAAAGAUGGUCAUUGCAGUUCAAGGAGGUCAAGAUCGUCGACUUAUGUCACCGUCUCUGAUCAAGAAGGAACGACCCUGGUGUUCCAAGCAUCGAGUGCACAAUCAACGGAUAUUCUUUUCAGAAGACAGUCUACGACACCGGAUCUGACGUCAACAUAAUGGCCGCAGUCACUUAUCAGCUCCUGCAUAAAACCAUGCCCCUACAACCAACAUACAUUCAGCUCCAGAUGAUUUGAAGGUUAUUGACAUGGGAGAAGACGAAUACAAUCCACCCAUCAUCCUUAGGAGACUGUUCCUCAGCACCGUUAAAGCAAUCAUCUACAUUGGAACCGGAGAAGUCCACAUGCACUUCGCCUCUGAGAAGACGACGCAACCGCAACCAGAGAAGGCAAAUCAUCAAGGACAGAUGGGCGGACUACGAAGGAGAAGUGGUAAUGUCUGAAGACAUACAGCUUGAACAGAACUGUGCUGAGGAGACCAUAGCACCGAGUCAGGUGUGUAGAGAGAAGAUAGUUAUACAUGAAGACCAGGCGCCGCCAGAACCACCGACUACGCCAUCCAGCGAAUCUCAGGACGAAUGAGAAAACGAAGAGUCCCGUUGGGAGGACUUAAAAACACAGAAUGCCUUGCCAAGAGGUAAACUUGGUAGUUAUCUUUUCCUUUAAAAUAGUUUGCUUAGUUAAUCAGGUUUAUAUCAUCUUGAAAAGAAAAUAAAAAUGUUAAAAAUAGUAAGCCCCAUGUGAGUAUGCUCAUGGCAUAAAACCCAUAAGUACAUUCACUAUGGUGGCAUAAAAAUAAAAUAAAUAUAUUCCUGUCCUAUAAUAAUAAAAAUAUAAAAAUAAAUUUAUGAUCCUACUAAAGAGAGUAACAUUUAUUGAGGAGACUCAACAUGAUAAAGGCUAAAUAUUUAUGCUAACACUUAACUAGUUCCACAAAGCUUUGUUGUCUAUUUGAGCUCCAAAGAAUUCAAGGAUCAAAGAAAGUCUAGCAGACGGAGGACAUCCUAAUCGCUGUCAGAGUGUUGCCGACAUUCAAAUACACCUCCGCCACCUGCUAGCUACAUCAGAAGAAAUUAUGUCAAAAUCCAGCUUGGGGGAGAGCACCCCCAUUUAUCCAGCUAAGUGUUCUACUCACGUUUAUACUUUACUCGAAUAAUAAAAAGAUGCAUAAUCAUAAAAACACAAAUAAAGAUUUUGUGCUUAUAUAUAUAUAUCUUUGCUUAGCUUGCUAAAUAAAUAAAUAAAUAAAGUUUGCUAUUGUUGACGGUCCUUAAGUAUCAAAUUUAAUAAUCAAAUAAACAAAGAAAAGGAUCCAAAUGAAAUCAACAUCUAGACUUAGGGUUUUAUCUGACAGAAUAAAAGAUUUUGAGUUAUCAUUUGCAUCACUAAUCUGAUGAGCUUAUCUAUUCUCUCAUACAGUUUUACCCCGAUAUUUUUCUAUUUUAUCUUAUGCAGGGGAAUGUAUGAAUAGAAGACAUCUUCCAGGAAAUUUUGUUGACAAUCCCAAAGAAUUAUUCAAGAAGACAAGAGCCAAGCUCAAGAAGAGAUCAUCAACACUUCAGCAAGAAGCUUCAUCCAAUCAAGAAGAUCACCGGAACUUGUCUUCAGAGUUCGAAGCCAUGGCGAACAAACCAAUCCGCGAGUUCUCAGCUCCCACUACGGACAACAUCCGCACUGGACCUCCUGCAGAGAUCGAUGGCAACUUUGAGCUCAAGCCUGGACUUAUCAACAUGGUGCAAUCCAACCAGUUCUGUGGGAAGGCACACGAAGAUGCUAGUGCUCAUCUACAACACUUCCUGGAGAUUUGCAACACAUUUACCAUAUCAGGAGUUUCCAAAGAUGCUAUACUACUUCGCCUCUUCCCAUUCUCACUGUUAGGAAGAGCGAAGCAGUGGUUCUACGCUACAAAGGAGAAGAAUACUACGUGGGUGUUGACGGUCCUUAAAUAUCAAAUUUAAUUAUCAAAUAAAUAAAGAAAAGGAUCCAAAUGAAAUAAAGAUCUAGACUUAGGGUUUUAUCUGACAGAAUUCCACGAGUUUUGGUGUUUGUCUAUUUCUGCAGGGGGUUAUCAGGAAAUAUGGAAGAAAGGCCCACAUGUCAGGAUUACGUAAAGAUAUUAACGUGCUGUGCAAUUAUCUUACAUCUAUAAGACUCCAGAAGCCACGAGACCGAAGCGGAGGCGAAUCGGGGCCAGAGACAGGGCGCCCGCCCUGUCCAACUGGGCGCCCGCCCUGCCCCUAAGUCCAAUCAGGACUCUGCUUUGCGGGAAGUCUCCACCGACCUAAAGGAUGAAUCUAAACCAUACAAUCUAUGUCGGUUUGAUCCAAGGGCCCAUAUUCACUUGAAGGGACUAUAAAACCAGACCCCCUGGCCCCUGGAGGAGAGAGCCUCUCAACCCUAAUUCAUUGUUCCAUCAAGGGAGAAGAAGCCUCUGAUCAAGAUUAGAGCCACCACAUCAAUUAGAUAUCUAGAUUAGCAUAGCUACAUAGGAUUAGAACUUGAAGGAGUCAAUCUUCGAUUGGUUUCCGGAUCUGUCAGGAGGAUUCUUGGUAAUUCUCUAAUUGUGCUUCUAAUUGCUUUCUAAUUAUCUUUGUUCUUCAAUAUUAUGAAUAUGACUUUGUUCUACUUCAAUAUAUUGCUUAUGACUUUGCUCUAUUUGCUUAUAUUCAAGAUUAUAUUGUUCUUAGUUUAUCAUAGUUAUGUACUUGGCUUAGUUAGAUAUGAUCUAUAUACAUGCUUAGGAUCGUAUAGCGUUUAUCCAUCGGAUCCAUGGGUAAAUGAUAGAUAUUGUGUAGGCGUGGUGCUUAUACCGUAUUUAUCUGCGAUUGUACCCAAUAUGCCAGAUCGUGGGGUAGUUCGUGAUAGUGACAGCUUCAUUGAUUCUUAUAUAGUCCCCCUCUCGUGUAUUGGGCUGGCAGAGCAACAUUAUUACAGGGGAGUGAUUGCUAUGUUUCUCAUAUUCCUUGCUAAUAUCACUAUGCAUGGGCGUAGUCUUGUCUCGCAAUGAUUGCUAAGUAUGCUUGCACUAACUAUGAUAUGCUAGACUAUAUAGUUAAGAAUAACUUAGGGAAUAUUCUUGUAGUUCGUUCUAAUACCAUGCUAAUGACUUUCUAGAGUAUCUAAUUGAGGUGCUUAUCAUAUUUAUUAUGUGGCUAGAUCAGAUUAGUUAUCCUUGUCACUAUUAUCAUUUCAUAUAUCUAUUAUGUGACACUUAUCCCUGUAUGAAGAGUUAGAUAUAAUGUUCUCAAUUAUACAUGCAAUGGUAGAUGCUCAAUCUCAUAUUCUAUUCUGUAAUCAAUAGUGAUGAUUGAUUAAUCCCUUCCCAGUGGUAAAAAUAUAAAUAACGAUACCUGGAAUACUUCCCGGUUAAAAUGCUACAUCGGUAUUAAUCUGUGCGCUUGCAGAUCCCAUUCAUUAUUUAUUUAGAAGAGCAAUUGCAUAUUUCAAUACCGCGUCUCUCAUGUCAUGCUGGGGAUGACAACUUGGCUUAAGUGGUGUGAGGGAUAGGUUUGGCAUUUUUGGCACCGUUGCUAGAUUUAGAACUUAGUCUACUUUUGGUAAUGAUGUUAAGAAUACCCAACAAGCAUUUUUUGGCGCCGUUGCCGGGGAAGGUUGAUUACCAAUCAGAAAUAGAAUAAAAGAUUUAGAGUAAUCAUUCGCAUCACUAAUAUGAUUGAGCUUAUCUAUUCUCUCAUACAGUUUUACCCCGAUAUUUUUCUAUUUUAUCUUAUGCAGGGGAAUGUAUGAAUAGAAGACAUCUUCCAGGAAAUUUUGUUGACAAUCCUGAAGCAUUAUUCAAGAAGACGAGGGCCAAGCUAAAGAAAUCAUCAACACUUCACGAAGAAGCUUCAUCCAAUCAAGAUGAUCACCAGAACUUGUCUUCAGAGUUCGAAGCCAUGGCGAACAAAUCGAUCCGCGAGUUCUCAGCUCCCACUACGGACAACAUCCGCACUGGACCUGCUGCAGAGAUCGAUGGCAACUUUGAGCUCAAGCCUGGACUUAUCAACAUGGUGCAAUCCAACCAGUUCUGUGGGAAGGCACACGAAGAUGCUAGUGCUCAUUUACAACACUUCCUGGAGAUUUGCAACACAUUCACCAUAGCAGGAGUUUCCAAAGACGCUAUACUACUUCGCCUCUUCCCAUUCUCACUGUUAGGAAGAGCGAAGCAGUGGUUCUACGCUACAAAGGAGAAGAAUACUACGUGGGCACUCUGCUCAACAAACUUCCUGGCAAAGUUCUUUCCCAUGGGCAAGACCAAUGCUCUCCGUGGGAAGAUUACAAGUUUUCAGCAACAAAAUGAUGAAUCUGUUCCAGAAGCAUGGGAGCGCUUUCAAGACUACAUCCUAGAAUGUCCCCAUCAUGGAAUGGAGAGUUGGCUAUUGAUGCAGACAUUCUAUCAUGGGCUCAGCAAUAGUGCCCGAGAGACCAUGGAUGCUGCAGCUGGAGGAGCAUUCUUAUCACUUACUAUACCACAAGCCACAGCUCUUGUGGAGAAGAUGGCGUCCAAUCAAAGCUGGAAUGAAGAGAGGACCCAGACACGCAAGAGAGGUGGAGGUAUGCAUCAGCUGAAGGAGGUAGACAUGCUGUCUGCAAAGCUAGACCUGCUCAUGAAGAAGCUGGAUGAUAAAGCUGGAGACAAGAAAGAAGUUAUGCACAUCUACGACUCUCACAUGACUUGUGAGGAGUGUGGAGACACUGGACACUCAGGCAACCACUGCCCUGAGAUGCUUGAGGAUGUGAACUACAUCAACAACAACAACUACUACAACCGUCCUCAACAAAAUCAAGGUUGGAAUCAACAGAGGCCUAACUACUCAGGUAAUUAUCAAGGUAACAAUUCUUACAACAAUAAUAAUAAUUUUCCACCUUUGAGAGAGUUAUUGUCUAAUCAAGGAAAGCUAAUGGAUAACCUAUCUAAGAAAUUGGCAUCUAAUGAUAAAAUGCUAGAAAAUAUAAAUAAUAGAAUGGAUAAUUUCUCUACUGCCAUCAAGAAUCAAAUUAGCUUUAAUAAAAUGAUUGAAUCUCAGUUAAAUCAAAUAGCUGCUGUUGUUCCUACUACUAACCCCGGUAUACCAUCACAACCGGAAGGAUUAGAAUCUGCAAAUCUUGUAGACAUAUUUGAUGUAGGUAAUUGGAGUAACCCCGUCAAUGAAUUCUCUACUGACCUUCUGCCGGUCAAGAGAGGCGAUCCAGGACGCCCCGUCAUCCCGAUCUCCAUCGACAUGGUGGACGUCCCAGAAGCACUCUGCGACUUUGGCUCCAGUGUCAACAUUAUACCCAGGGUACUCUAUGAUAAAUUCUUUACAUAUUCUUUAUUAGAGACAACCAUGUGUUUGCAGUUUGCAGAUCAGACGAUAACUUUUCCAAAAGGAAUAGUGAGGAACCUUUGUGUCCGAGUUGGUACCUUGUAUGCACCAGCAGACUUCGUAGUGGUAGAGACCGGAAAUGAUGAGAGAGCACCUAUCAUCCUAGGGAGGCCAUUUUUGAACACCACGGGAGCUAUCAUCUACGCCAGUGCUGCUAAGAUCAGUUUCUACGUCAAAGGGAAGAAGGAAACAUUUUUCUUCAAAAACAAGACUACACAAAUUCCAAAUCAAUCCAGACGUCAAUCAAGGAAGAGGACCAACAGGAGGAACAGGAACAAGCAAGUGUGGACCGAGUCAGCUCAGAUGGUCACUGUAGUCCAUGGAGGCCAAGAUCACCAACCUAAGUCACCGUGCUUGACCAAGAAGGACGACCCAGGAAUGCCAAGCAUUUACUGCUCCAUAAAUGGAUACAACUUCUACAAGACAAUUUGUGACACCGGAUCGGGCAUCAACAUAAUGGCCGCAGUCACCUAUCGGCUCUUGUUCGGGACCAUGCCACUAAGACCAACAUACAUUCAGCUCCAGAUGGCAGAUCAGACAUUUCGAGAAGUUCAAGGAAUAGUAUCUGAUGUCCCAGUCAAAAUAGACAAUCACUUUGUCUACACAGACUUUCAAGUUAUUGACAUGGGAGAAGACGAGUAUGAUCCACCCAUCAUCCUUGGAAGGCCGUUCCUCAGCACCGUUAAAGCAAUUAUCUACAUUGGAACCGGAGAAGUCCAUAUGCACUUCCCCUCAGAGAAGGUACGCCGUUAUUUUACUGACCCUAACUAUAUCGUUGAAGAAUCUAAGCAGGUCAGAAAGAGACGCAACCGCAACCAGAGGAGGCAGAUCAUCAAGGACGGAUGGGCAGACUAUGAAGGAGAAGUUGUAAGGUCAGAAGACGUAGAGUUUAAACAGAAUUAUCCAGAGGAGAUUGAAGCACCGAGUCAGGUAUGGAAAAUGAAGAUAACUAUACAAGAAGAGGAGGCGCUGCCGGAAGUACCGACUACGCCACCCAACGAACCUCAGGACGAUUAAGAAAUUGGAGAGUCCCGUUCGGAGGACUUAAAAACACCGAACGCCUUGCCAAGAGGUAAACUUGGUAGUUACCCUUUCCCUUUCAGUUAUUUUAAAUAGUUUACUUAGUUAAACAUGCUCAUACUGUCUUAAAAAGAAAAUAAAAAUGUAAAAAAUAGUAAGCCCCAUGUGAAUAGACGAGUGGCAUAAAACCCAUACGUACAUUCACUGUGGUGGCAUAAAAAUAAAAUAAAUAUUUUUCUGCUUUAUAAAAUAAAAAUAUAAAAACAUGGAGUAAUAAUUAUUAAGGAGUCUCAAGAUGAUAAAGGCUAGAUAUUUGUGCUAACACUUAAUCAGUUCCACAAGCUUUGUUGUCUAUUUGAGCUCCACAGAAUUUAAGAAUCAAGAAGACUAGCAGACGGAGGACAUUCUAAUCGCUGUCGGAAUGCUGCUUUCAAAUACACCUCUGCCACCUGCUAGCUACAUCAAGAGAAAUUACGUCAAAAUUCAGCUUGGGGGAGAGCACCCCCAUUUAUCUCGAUAAGUAUUUCUAUCUAUCUAUCUUUAUAUUUAUAUUAUUUAGAAUAUUAAUACACAUAAACUAUGGGAAAACCAAAUAAAGAUUUUAUGCUUAUAUAUAUAUAUUACUUAGUGUGUUUAAUUAACAAAUAAAGUGGCUAUGCUAAUCUGUAUCUAAUAAAACUUAAGCAUGGAUAUGAUGAAUAGUUGCUCUGCCUAAUUUGCACAUUUUAAGUUCUCUCUCAAGUUUAGACAUAACUGUUAUAAUUUAAAGCUUGCCCUAGACCUAAACUUGUGGGAUGAAAACUUGAUCUGAAGUCUAAGUUGUUAACGGAUACGAUAUAGGAAGGUUGAGCUGCUGUUUAUCUGUUCCUUGAGAUGCUAGAAUUCUGGAGAAUUUAUCUUUGAAAAUCUUUAAAAUGUUGCAUGAUGAGUUCCUGUAUGAUGAGAGCUUAAAUUCCUACCACAGCCAUAUAUACAUGCUUGCUAGACUUUGAGCCACACAUUUACUAUUUACUGCUUAUGAGCAUUGAGUAUGGUCAAGCUGUGUAGACCCUUAGGAGCUUGUCAUGUGGUUAAAUCAAGAUUUCACUUGCACGUUCACUCAUAUAUGCUACUUCUUCUCCGGAAGUACCAUCCACAUACAUCCACUCAUUUCCAUCUCCAGAACCACCUAAAAAUAUUCUACUCCUAAUCCGGGAGAGAAUAACCAAAAAUAUUUCUGUUUUCCCCUUGUGAAAUAAAUGCUCAAGUUAUCUUGUUACUACCACUUGCUAUAUUAUCUCAAGAGAUGAAUGCUCUAAAAAAAAGAGAGAGAGAAAAAUAAUACGAGGAAAUAAAAAGGAGCAAGUGCUCGGAACCUCGAAAGAAAAGAAAAAGUGAGACGAGAGGUAAAAAUGGACAAGUGUCCGACAGUAGAAUUAGGGGUGCAAGAUACCCACCUGAGAGAAAAGAAAAAGAAGAGCAUCUCAUUCUUCUCAUAAAGUUUCAAAAGCAAGGAAGGUAUGUAUCCCCUCAGAAGAGCAAAGUAGAAUUAGACUUUCACCACCAUUGUUUCCACCAUUGUUUUCACCAUUGUUGUCACCAUCAUCACCAUAUACCAUUCAUUCGCCACACAUGCACAUCUUGAUUAAACUUAUUGACUUGUUACUUUGGAUCCAUGGUUUGACUAUGCAAUACAUGUCUUGUAAGUAUGUAUAUCUUAUCUCCCAACUAUGAGCUCCAGAUAUUAAAGCCUUAUUAGAGUAGGAUGAGAGAGAAGGCAAUGUUACUAUGCCUCAUACCACAAAUACCACAUAUCUUGAGAGAAGGCAUAUACCAUCAAUGCCUUGGUAAGGAUCCAAAAAUACCACAAAAGAGAGACCUGAGAGAAUCAUACAAGGAAUUCUGAGUUUUAUUUGAAAAUCUGCAAAAAUCCCAGAGCUAUAGCUGAUCAAGAAUAAGAGACAUGGCACUUGGCUAGACUGUUCUAUCUUUUAACCACUCAAGACAGAAGUGACAGUUACAAGUCCCAUGGUGAAGGUAAAGUAAGUAAGUUUUAAGUCUUGACAGUUUACUCUAACUCAGAGAUGAGAUCUUAUUUAAGAGCAUGUGUACCGUCAAAUUUUUAAAGAUAUUGCAGCAACUUCUGAUCCAUAGCUGAGUCUAUCCUUGCUCAGGGACGAGCAAGAGGUAAGCUUGGGGGAGUUUGUUGACGGUCCUUAAGUAUCAAAUUUAAUUAUCAAAAAAAUAAAGAAAAGGAUCCAAAUGAAAUAAAGAUCUAGACUUAGGGUUUUAUCUGACAGAAUUCCACGAGUUUUGGUGUUUGUCUAUUUCUGCAGGGGGUUAUCAGGAAAUAUGGAAGAAAGGCCCACAUGUCAGGAUUACGUAAAGAUAUUAACAUGCUGUGCAAUUAUCUUACAUCUAGAAGACUCCAGAAGCCACGAGACCGAAGCGGAGGCGAAUCGGGGCCAGAGACAGGGCGCCCGCCCUGUCCAACUGGGCACCCGCCCUGCCCCUAAGUCCAAUCAGGACUCUGCUUUGCGGGAAGUCUCCACCGACCUAAAGGAUGAAUCUAAACCAUACAAUCUAUGUCGGUUUGAUCCAAGGGCCCAUAUUCACUUGAAGGGACUAUAAAACCAGACCCCCUGGCCCCUGGAGGGGAGAGCCUCUCAACCCUAAUUCAUUGUUCCAUCAAGGGAGAAGAAGCCUCUGAUCAAGAUUAGAGCCACCACAUCAAUUAGAUAUCUAGAUUAGCAUAGCUACAUAGGAUUAGAACUAGAAGGAGUCAAUCUUCGAUUGGUUUCCGGAUCUGUCAGGAGGAUUCUUGGUAAUUCUCUAAUUGUGCUUCUAAUUGCUUUCUAAUUAUCUUUGUUCUUCAAUAUUAUGAAUAUGACUUUGUUCUACUUCAAUAUAUUGCUUAUGACUUUGCUCUAUUUGCUUAUAUUCAAGAUUAUAUUGUUCUUAGUUUAUCAUAGUUAUGUACUUGGCUUAGUUAGAUACGAUCUAUAUACAUGCUUAGGAUCGUAUAGCGUUUAUCCAUCGGAUCCAUGGGUAAAAGAUAGAUAUUGUGUAGGCGUGGUGCUUAUACCGUAUUUAUCUGCGAUUGUACCCAAUAUGCCAGAUCGUGGGGUAGUUCGUGAUAGUGACAGCUUCAUUGAUUCUUAUAUAGUCCCCCUCUCGUGUAUUGGGCUGGCAGAGCAACAUUAUUACAGGGGAGUGAUUGCUAUGUUUCUCAUAUUCCUUGCUAAUAUCACUAUGCAUGGGCGUAGUCUUGUCUCGCAAUGAUUGCUAAGUAUGCUUGCACUAACUAUGAUAUGCUAGACUAUAUAGUUAAGAAUAACUUAGGGAAUAUUCUUGUAGUUCGUUCUAAUACCAUGCUAAUGACUUUCUAGAGUAUCUAAUUGAGGUGCUUAUCAUAUUUAUUAUGUGGCUAGAUCAGAUUAGUUAUCCUUGUCACUAUUAUCAUUUCAUAUAUCUAUUAUGUGACACUUAUCCCUGUAUGAAGAGUUAGAUAUAAUGUUCUCAAUUAUACAUGCAAUGAUAGAUGCUCAAUCUCAUAUUCUAUUCUGUAAUCAAUAGUGAUGAUUGAUUAAUCCCUUCCCAGUGGUAAAAAUAUAAAUAACGAUACCUGGAAUACUUCCCGGUUAAAAUGCUACAUCGGUAUUAAUCUGUGCGCUUGCAGAUCCCAUUCAUUAUUUAUUUAGAAGAGCAAUUGCAUAUUUCAAUACCGCGUCUCUCAUGUCAUGCUGGGGAUGACAACUUGGCUUAAGUGGUGUGAGGGAUAGGUUUGGCAUUUUUGGCACCGUUGCUAGAUUUAGAACUUAGUCUACUUUUGGUAAUGAUGUUAAGAAUACCCAACAGUGGGCACUCUGCUCAACAAACUUCCUGGCUAAGUUCUUUCCCAUGGGCAAGACCAAUGCUCUCCGUGGGAAGAUUACAUGUUUUCAGCAACAAAAUGAUGAAUCUGUUCCAGAAGCAUGGGAGCGCUUUCAAGACUACAUCCUAGAAUGUCCCCAUCAUGGAAUGGAGAGUUGGCUAUUGAUGCAGACAUUUUAUCAUGGGCUUGGCAACAGUGCCUGAGAAACCAUGGAUGCUGCAGCUGGAGGAGCAUUCUUAUCACUUACUAUACCACAAGCCAUAGCUCUUGUGGAGAAGAUGGCGUCCAACCAAAGCUGGAAUGAAGAGAGGACCCAGACACGCAAGAGAGGUGGAGGUAUGCAUCAGCUGAAGGAGGUAGACAUGCUGUCUGCUAAGCUAGACCUGCUCAUAAAGAAGCUCGACGAUAGAGCUGGAGAUAAGAAGGAAGUGAUGCACAUCUACGACUCUCACAUGACAUGUGAGGAGAGUGGAGACACUGGACACUCAGGCAACCACUGUCCUGAGAUGCUUGAGGAUGUGAACUACAUCAACAACAACAACUACAACUACUACAACCGUCCUCAACAAAAUCAUGGUUGGAAUCAACAGAGGCCUAACUACUCAGAGAGGAGAUCCAGGACGCCCCAUCAUCCCGAUCUCCAUCGGCAUGGUGGACGUCCCAGAAGCACUCUGUGACUUUGGCUCCAGCGUCAACAUUAUACCCAGGGUACUCUAUGAAAAAUUCUUUACAUAUCCUUUAUUAGAGACAACCAUGUGUUUGCAAUUUGCAGAUCAGACGAUAACUUUUCCAAAGGGAAUAUUGAAGAACCUUUGUGUCCGAGUUGGUACCUUGUAUGCCCCAGCAGACUUCGUAGUGGUAGAGACCGAAAAUGAUGAGAGGGCACCUAUCAUCUUAGGGAGGCCAUUCUUGAACACCACGGGAGCUAUCAUCUAUGCCAGUGCUACCAAGAUAAGUUUCUACAUCAAAGGGAGGAAGGAGACAUUUUUCUUCAGGAACAAGACUACACAAAUCCCAGAUCAAUCCAGACGUGAAUCAAGGAAGAGGACCAACAGGAGGAACAAGAACAAGAAAGUGUGGACCGAGUCAGCUAAGAUGGUCUCUGCAGUUCAUGGAGGCCAAGAUCAUCAAUUUAAGUCACCGUUUUUGACCAAGAAGGACGACCCAGGAAUGCCAAGCAUCUAUUGCUCCAUAAAUGGAUACAACUUCUACAAGACGUUUUGCGACACUGGAUCGGGCGUCAACAUAAUGGCCACAGUCACCUAUCGGCUCUUGUUCGGAACCAUACCACUAAAACCAACAUACAUUCAGCUCCAGAUGGCAGAUCAGAUGUUUCGAGUGGUUAAAGGAACAGUAACUGAUGUCCCUAUCAAAAUAGACGAUCAUUUUGUCUACACAGACUUUCAGGUUAUUGACAUGGGAGAAGAUGAAUACGAUCCACCCAUCAUCCUUGGAAGACCGUUCCUCAGCACCAUUAAAGCAAUCAUCUACAUUGGAACCGGAGAAGUCCAUAUGCACUUCCCCUCAGAGAAGGUACGACGUUAUUUUACUGACCCUAACUAUAUCGUUGAAGAAUCUAAGCAGGUAAGGAAACGACGCAACCGCAACCAGAGGAUGCAAAUCAUCAAGGAUGGAUGGGCAGACUACGAAGGAGAAGUUAUAAGGUCAGAAGACGUAGAGUUUAAACAGAAUUAUCCAGAGGAGACCGUAGCACCGAGUCAGGUAUGGAAAGAGAAGAUAACUAUACAUGAAGAGGAGGCGCCGCCGGAAGUACCGACUACGCCACUCAACGAAUCCCAGGACAAUUAAGAAAAUGGAGAGUCCCGUUCGGAGGAUUUUAAAACACCGAACGCCUUGCCAAGAGGUAAACUUGGUAGUUAUCCUUUCCCUUUCAAUUAUUUUAAACAGUUUGCUUAGUUAAUCAUGUUCACGUUAUCCUAAAAAGAAAAUAAAAAUGUGAAAAACAGUAAGCCCCAUGUGAAUAUACGAGUGGCAUGAAACCCAUAAGUACAUUCACUGUGGUGGCAUAAAAAUAAAAUAAAUAUUUUUCUGCUCUAUAAAAUAAAAAUAUAAAAACAGGGAGUAAUAAUUAUUAAGGAGUCUCAACAUGAUAAAGGCUAGAUAUUUAUGCUAACACUUAAUUAGUUCCAUAAGCUUUGCUGUCUAUUUGAGCUCCGCAAAAUUUAAGAAUCAAGAAGACUAGCAGACGGAGGACAUUCUAGACGCUGUCAGAAUGCUGCUGACUUUCAAAUACACCUCUGCCACCUGCUAGCUACAUCAAGAGAAAUUACGUCAAAAUUCAGCUUGGGGGAGAGCAUCCCCAUUUAUCCCGCUAAGUAUUUCUAUCUUUCUAUCUAUAUUUAUACUUAUACUAUAUUAAAAUACAUAAACUAAAACCAAAUAAAGAUUUUAUGCUUAUAUAUAUCUCUUUUGCUUAGUAUGUUUAAUAAAUAAAUAAAGUGGCUAUGCUAAUCUGUAUCUUAAUAAUAAAACUCAAGCAUGGUUAUAAUGAAUAGUUGCUCUGCCUAAUUUGCACAUUUUAAGUUCUCUCUCAAGUUUAGACAUAACUGUUAUAAUUUAAAGCUUGCUCUAGACCUAAACUUGUGGGAUGAAAACUUGAUUUGAAGUCUAAGUUGUUAACGGAUACGAUAUGGGAAGGUUGAGCUGCUAUUUAUCUGUCUAGAGAUGCUAGAAUUCUGGAGAAUUUUAUCUUUGAAAAUCUUUAAAAUGUUGCAUGCUGAGUUCCUGUAUGAUGAGAGUUUAAAUUCCUACCACAGCCAUAUAUACAUGCUUGCUAGAAUUUGAGCCACACAUUUACUAUUUACUGCUUAUGAGCAUUGAGUGUGGUCAAGCUGUGUAGACCCUUAGGAGCUUGUCAUGUGGUUAAAUCAAGAUUUCACUUGCACGUUCACUCAUAUAUGCUACUUCUAUUCUGGAAGUACCAUCCACAUAUAUCCAUCCAUUUCCAUCUCCAGAACCACCUAAAAAUAUUCUACUCCUAAUCCGAGAGAGAAUAAUCAAAAAUAUUUCUGUUUUUCCCUUGUGAAAUAAAUGCUCAAGUUAUCUUGUUACUACCACUUGCUAUAUUAUCUCAAGAGAUGAGUGCUCUAAAAAAAAGAAGAGAAAAAGAGAUACGAGGAAAUAAAAAGGAGCAAGAGCUCGGAACGUCGAAAGAAAAGAAAAGUGAGACGAGAGGUAAAAAUGGACAAGUGUGCGACAGUAGAAUUAGGGGUAUGAGAUACCCACCUGAGAGGAAAGAAAAUGAAGAGCAUCUCAUUCUCCUCACUAUUCAAAAAGCAUAGAAGGUAUAUAUCCCCUCAAAGAGCAAAAGUAGAAUUAGACUUUCACCACUGUUAUCACCAUCAUCACCAUACACCAUUCAUUCGCCACACAUGCACAUCUUGAUUUGACUUAUUGAUUUGUUUCUUUGGAUCCAUGGUUUGACUAUACAAUAAAUGUCUUGUAAGUAUGUAUACUUUAUCUCCCACCUAUGAGCUCCAGAUAUUAAAGCCGUAAUAGAGUAGGGUGAGAGAUAAGAUAAUGUCACUAUGCUUCAUACCACAAAUACUACAUAUCUUGAGAGAAGGCAUAUACCAUCACUGCCUUGGUAAGGAUCCAUAAAUACCACAAAAGAGAGAUUUGAGAGAAUCAUACAAGGAAUCUCUGAGUUUUAUUUGAAAAUCUGUAAAAACGCCAGAGCUAUAGCUGAUCAAGAAUAAGAGACAUGGCACUUGACUAGACUGUUCUAUCUUUUAACUACUCAAGACAGAAGUGACGGUUACAAGUCCCAUGGUGAAAGGUAAAGUAAGUAAGUUUUAAGUCUUGACAGUUUACUCUAACUCAGAGAUGAGAUCUUAUUUAAAAACAUGUGUGCCGUCAAUUUUUUUUUAAGAUAUUGCAACAACUUCUAAUCCAUUGCUGAGUCUAUCUUUGCUCAGGGACGAGCAAGAGGUAAGCUUGGGGGAGUUUGUUGACGGUCCUUAAGUAUCAAAUUUAAUAAUCAAAUAAACAAAGAAAAGGAUCCAAAUGAAAUCAAUAUCUAGACUUAGGGUUUUAUCUGACAGAAUUCCACGAGUUUUGGUGUUUGUCUAUUUCUGCAGGGGGUUAUCAGGAAAUACGGAAGAAAGGCCCACACGUCGGGAUUACAUAGAGAUAUUAACGUGCCGCGCAAUUAUCUUACAUCUAGAAGACUCCAGAAGCCACGAGACCGAAGUGGAGGCGAAACGGGGCCAGAGGCAGGGCGCCCGCCCUCCUGCCCUGGGCGCCCGCCCCCUCCCUGAGUCCAAUCAGGACUCUGCUUCGUGGGAGAUCUCCAUUGACCUAAAGGAUGAAUCUAAACCAUACAAUCUAUGUCGGUUUGAUCCAACGGCCCAUAUUCACUUGAAGGGACUAUAAAACCAGACCCCCUGGCCCCUGGAGGAGGGAGCCUCUCAACCCUAAUUCAUUAUUCUCAAGGGAGAAGAAGCCCCUGAUCAAGAUUAGAGCCACCACAUCAAUUAGACAUCAAGAUUAGCAUAGCUACAUAGGAUUAGAACUAGAAGGAGUCAAUCUUCGAUUGGUUUCCUGAUCUGUCAAGAGGAUUCUUGGUAAUUCUCUAAUUGUGCUAUUAAUUGCUUUCUAAUUAUCUUUGUUCUUCAAUAUUAUGAAUAUGACUUUGUUCUACUUCAAUAUAUUGCUUAUGACUUUGCUCUACUUGCUUGUAUUCAAGAUUAUAUUGUUUUUAGUUUAUCAUAGUUAUGUACUUCGCUUAGUUAGAUUGGAUCUAUAUACAUGCUUAGGAUCAUAUAGCGUUUAUCCAUCGGAUCCAUGGGUAAAUGAUAGAUAUUGUGUAGGCGUGGUGCUUAUACCGUAUUUAUCUGCGAUUGUACCCAAUAUGCCAGAUCGUGGGGUAGUUCGUGAUAGUGACAGCUUCAUUGAUUCUUAUAUAGUCCCCCUCUCGUGUAUUGUGCUAGAAGAGCAACAUUAUUACAGGGGAGUGAUUGCUAUGUUUCUCAUUUACCUUGCUAAUAUCACUAUGCAUGGGCGUAGUCUUGUCUCACAAUGAUUGCUAAGUAUGCUUGCACUAUCUACGAUAAUGCUAGACUAUAUAGUUGAGAAUAACUCAGGGAAUAUUCUUGUAGUUCGUUCUAAUACCAUGCUAAUGACUUUCUAGAGUAUCUAAUUGAGGUUCUUAUCAUAUUUAUAUGUGGCUGAUCAGAUUAAUUAUCUUUGUCACUAUUUAUUACUUCAUAUAUCUUUUAUGUGACACUUACCCCUGUAUGAAAGAGUUAGAUAAUUGUUCUCAAUUAUACUUGCAAUGAUAGAUACUCAAUCUCAUAUUCUAUUCUAUAAUCAAUAUUGAUGAUUGCUAAUCCCUUCCCAGUGGUAAAAAUAUAAAUAACGAUACCUGGAAAACCUCCCGGUUAAAAUGCUACAUCGGUAUUAAUCUGUGCGCUUGCAGAUCCCAUUCAUUAUUUAUUUGGAAGAGCAAUUGCAUAUUUCAAUUCCGCGUCUCUCAUAUCAUGCUGGGGAUGACAACUUGGCUUAAGUGGAGUGAGGGAUAGGUUUGGCAUUUUUGGCACCCUUACUAGAUUUAGAGAACUUAGUCUACUUUUGGUAAUGAUGUUAAGAAUACCCAACAGCUAUGAACCCUCAUGAUAAGCUCUCACAUGGAAAUGAUGAAUAGUUGCUCUGCCAUGACUAGUUCUCGAAAUUGAAAUCUCUCUCAAGCUUAGGUAUGACUGUUUUUAAUUAAGAUUUGCUCUAAACCUGAACUUGUGGGAAGAGUACUUGAUGUUGAUAUUUGGUAACGCAAUAAGGAAACGAUCCGCAAGCGCACGGAUAUCGGUGAGCAUUUCACCCGGGAGGUUAUCCAGAGUUAUCGUAUUUAUAUUUUUACCACUGGGAGAAAGGGUGCAUCUGACUAACCAAAUCUAUUGCUACUAUCCCUUUAGGCUACAAAGAAUGUCUCUCGAUGUGAGUGAUAAAUAGAGAAGACUGCAACCGUAGUCUCCUUCUAACCUUGGUAAGGAUAAUCUUACUGUUCUAAUGGGGAGGCUAACGGAAUCUAGACACCACAAAGGAUGUUCAACCCGCACCUAUAAACCCUAUCCUUCCUGCUAACGAGAUGUGUAACUCGGAAUUGUCACGUUCCUCACUACUACCACGGUCCAGCUAGUCAGGGAAUAUCUAUGAGUACCCCAGCCUAAACACCAUGUUUACGCCAGUAAUGAUUACUCUAAACUCUACGCGAAGAGAUUAAAGUAAACUCAUAAACCAUAAGAACAAUAAAACAAGAACUUACUAGAAUUUAGAAGUCGAAAUACUGAAGAAUCCUAGGAGCAAGCUUCGGGUUAGGAGAACUUGAUCCCGUAGGUACAAGCUUGGAGUAGACACCGACAGGCCGGGCUUCCUCCAAUCAACACCUCCACUCUAUCUCUCUCAAUCUAGUAGAAACUAGAAGAUCUAUUUCUACUUUACAUUGGUUGCUAAGCCUAAAAAGAAAUAUUAAUUAGAGAAGAGGUUUUCCUUCGAGGGCACCCCUCAGUCUCUAUGAUAAUUUCUUCAUGUCUUCUCCAGGGGCCAGGGGGUCUCCUUAUAUAGUCCUCCCCUUCUAUGCGUUUUUGGGUCGGUAGGCGAUGUGGUACUACGUUAUUCUGGAUCCAAUAGGUCGGUGGAGAUCUCCCGAGAGAAAGAGUCCUGAUUGGGCUCAACAGGUGGGCGGGCGCCCAAGGAAACUGGGCGGGCGGCCAGGUCCUGGCCCCGUUUCGCCUCCGCUUCGGUCUCGUGGCUUCUGGAGUCUUCUAGAUGGUAGAAAAUUGCGCGGUGCGUUGAUAUCUCUAUGUAAUCCUGACAUGUGGGCCUUUCUUCCUUAUUUCCUGAUAACCCCCUGCAAAAAUAGACAAACACCAAAACUCGUGGAAUUCUGUCAGAUAAAACCCUAAGUCUAGAUGUUGAUUUCAUUUGGAUCCUUUUCUUUGUUUAUUUGAUAAUUAAAUUUGAUACUUAAGGACCGUCAACAAACUCCCCCAAGCUUACCUCUUGCUCGUCCCUGAGCAAGGAUAGACUCAGCUAUGGAUCAGAAGUUGUUGCAAUAUCUUAAAAAUUUGACGGUACACAUGAUUUUAAAUAAGAUCUCAUCUCUGAGUUAGAGUAAACUGUCAAGAAUUAAAACUUACUUACUUUACCUUUCACCAUGGGACUUGUAACCGUCACUUCUGUCUUGAGUAGUUAAAAGAUAGAACAGUCUAGCCAAGUGCCAUGUCUCUUAUUCUUGAUCAACUAUAGCUCUGGGGUUUUUGCAGAUUUUCAAAUAAAACUUAGAGAUUCCUUGUAUGACUCUCUCAUAUCUCGCUUUUGUGGUAUUUCUGGAUCCCUACCAAGGCAUUGAUGGUAUAUGCCUUCUCUCAAGAUAUGUGGUAUUUAUGGUAUAAGGCAUAGUGACAUUGCCUUCUCUCUCACCCUACUCAAAUAAGGCUUGAUAUCUGGAGCUCAUAGGUGGGAGACAGUUAAUACAUACUUACAAGACAUUUAUUGCAUAGUCAAACCAUGGAUCCAGAGAAACAAGUCAAUAAGUCAAAUCAAGAUGUGCAUGUGUGGCGAGUGAAUGGUGUAUGGUGAUGAUGGUGAUAACAAUGGAGAAAGUCUAAUUCUACUUUUGCUCUCUUGAGGGGAUACAUACCUUCCUUGCUUUUUGAAACUUUAUGAGGAGAAUGAGAUGCUCUUCUUUUUCUUUCCUCUCAGGUGGGUAUCUUGUACCCCUAAUUCUACUGUCGGACACUUGUCCAUUUUUACCUCUCGUCUCACUUUUUCUUUCUUUCGAGGUUCCGGGCACUUGCCCCUUUUUAUUUCCUCGUUUAUAUAUUUUUUUUUCUUUUUUUUUCUUUCUUUUUUUUCAGAGCACUCAUCUCUUGAGAUAAUAUAGCAAGUGGUAGUAACCAAAAUAUUUGGAGCAUUUAUUUCACAGGAAAUAACAGGGAUAGGAAAAAUGUUUUUGACUAUUCUCUCCCGGAUUAGGAGUAGAAUAUUUUUGGGUGAUUCUGGAGAUGGAAAUGGAUGGAUAUAUGUGGAUGGUACUUCCGGAGUAGAAGUAGCAUAUAUGAGUGAACGUGCAAGUGAAUCUUGAUUUAACCACAUGACAAGCUCCUAAGGGUCUACACAGCUUGACCACACUCAAUGCUCAUAAGCAGUAAAUACUAAAUGUGUGGCUCAAAGUCUAGCAAGCAUGUAUAUAUGGCUGUGGUAGGAAUUUAAACUCUCAUCAUACAGGAACUCAUCAUGCAAUAUUUUAAAAAAUUUUCAAGAUAAAAUUUUCCAUAAUUCUAGCAUCUCUAGAAACAGAUAAACAGCAGCUCAACCUUCCCAUAUCAUAUCCGUUAACAACUUGGAUUUCAGAUCAAGUUUUCAUCCCACAAGUUUAGAUCUAGAGCAAGCUUUAAAUUAUAACAGUUAUGUCUAAACUUGAGAGGGAACUUCAAAAUUGCAAAUUAGGCAGAGCAACUAUUCAUCAUAUCCAUGCUAGAGUUUUAUUAUUAAGAUUCAGAUUAGCAUAGCCACUUUAUUUAUUUAUUAAACAUACUAAGCAAAAGAUAUAUAUAAGCACAAAAUCUUUAUUUGGUUUUUCAUAGUUGAUGUAUUUUAAUAUUAUAACAUAAUAUAAGUAUAAAGAUAGGUAGAAAUACUUAGCGAGAAUAAUGGGGGUGCUUUCCCCCAAGCUGAAUUUUGACGUAAUUUCUCUUGAUGUAGCUAGCAGGUGGCAGAGGUGUAUUUGAAAGUCAGCAGCAUUCUGACAGCGAUUAGAAUGUCCUCCGUCUGCUAGUCUUCUCGAUUCUUAAAUUCUGUGGAGCUCAAAUAGACAACAAAGCUUGUGGAACUAAUUAAGUGUUAGCAUAAAUAUCUAGCCUUCAUCAUGUUGAGCUUCCUUAAUAAAUGUUAUUUAUUUAGCAGGAUCAUACACUUAUUAUUAUUAUAUAUUUUUUUAUUGUAAGAUGAAAACUUAUUUAUUUUAUUUUUUAUGCCACCACAGUGAAUGUACUUAUGGGUUUUAUGCCAUGAGCAUACUCACAUGGGGCUUACUAUUUUUUAACAUUUUUAUUUUCUUUUCAAGAUAGCAUGAACCUGAUUCACUAAGCAAAUUAUAAUUGAAUAAUUGAAAGGAAAGGGUAACUACCAAGUUUACCUCUUGGCAAGGCGUUCGGUAUUUUUAAGUACUCCGAACGGGACUCUCUGUUUUCUCAGUCGUCCUGGGAUUCGCUAGGUGGCGUAGUCAGUGAUUCCGACGACGCCUCUCUUCGUGUAUAACUAUCUUCUCCCUCCACACCUGACUCGGUGCUACGGUCUCCUCAGGACAGUUCUGUUCAAGCUGUAUGUCUUCAGUCUUUAUCACUUCUCCUUCGUAGUCUAUCCAUCCAUUCUUGAUGAUUUGCCUCCUCUGGUUGCGGUUGCGUCGUCUUCUUGUCCUGACCUGCUUAGAGUCUUCAACUAUAUAGUUAUGGUCAGUAAAAUAGUUGCGUACCUUCUCAGAGGGGAAGUACAUGUGGACUUCUCCGAUUCCAAUGUAGAUGAUUGCUCUGAUAGUGUUGAGGAACGGUCUUCCAAGGAUGGUGGGUGGAUCAUAUUCGUCUUCUCCCAUGUCAAUGACCUGAAAAUCAUCUUGGAGCUGAAUAUAUUGGUUGUAGGGGCAUGGUUCCAUGCAGGAGCUGAUAAGUGACUGCGGCCAUUAUGUUGUCGUCAGAUCCGGUGUCGUAGACUGUCUUCUGAAAAGAGUAUCCAUUGAUUGCGCACUCGAUGCUUGGAACACCAGGGUCGUCCUUCUUGAUCAAGAAAGGUGACUUGAGUCGACGAUGUUGACCUCUUCCGACAAGGAUUGAAUGUUUUAAGUCUUCUGGACAAGACUUUCCACCAUCUUCAUCCUUUAGGUGCAUCAAUUGAUUAGGUGUGGACCUUGACGUCUGCACCUCUUGAUACGGUGUUACCCAUGUUCUUCUUUGCCCAGUAGUUCGAAGUAUGGUGUUGGCAAUAUCCUGCUCACUGUGUUUGUGCUCAUAGAUCCAGGUCCUUCACUUGGUGGAGUCUGGGAGUUGUAAAACUCCUCCAUGUUUUGCUUGAAGUGUACCUUACUUGAAGAGUGACGGUACAGUAUCACCUUGUGGAAGCUUUCCUUUCUUAGCGGUUGUGCAUCGUGUUUGUGGCACCCUCCAUGAAUCAUCUCUUAUGAGCCACGUCUUUCUUGUGCAAAUUGUUAAACUUCAUGUGUCACUUUCUUCAUCUCCAAUGCGAGUUUAUCUCAGGACUUCCCAGGUUGAUAUUGAAAGUUUUCCUGCAGGGGUUAGUCCAACAAAAUAUCCCAUAUCUACUAUAGCAUACUAUCGGCUUAAAAAUCAACCUAGACACCAUGUCUAAUUUGAUUUAGAAGGGCAUUUUAACCUAAGCACCAUGCUUAAUUUAAAAUCCCUUGGAAGUAAGAUCAUCAUUCCUAAACUAAGCACCAUGCUUAAUUAAGAGAUAAAUGAAACUAUUCCAAACCUAAACAUAUACUAAAGCAAAUAAAGGUAGCAUGAGAGCAUUUAUAGAGAUCUACUUAAGUGGAGAUGAAGUAGUGUAAUUAGUAUUUAACAAAUUGAGCAUGUCUCAAAGGUAAGGACAACCAACGUAGCAACAUGGCAAAAGAUGUUUUUUAUGUAAAGUACUCCCCCAAGCUUGAAUUUUACAAAAUUCAAGUUUGGAUGAAUUUAAUUCAAUGUUGUGUGAUGGUUGGUUGGACAUACCCUGUGCUUGUCAUUCAUCAGAUCUUCUUGCUCCAAUCCUGGAAAGGUUAGUGACAAGAAUACCCAAAGGAAUAUUUCUACAAUUAUCUUUAUAUGCUCAAUACACAAGGCAAUGUUGCAAAUAAUUAGAAGUUCAUGUUAUGAUCUGAUAAGUGUUUGUUUUAGGACACUAAGCUUGUCCUUGGGAAACCAUCAAGUUAUGUUGGUGAAGUGGUUUCCCCUCCAACACCUACCUAUAUCAAGUUCAACUCAACGAGAUCUGCAAUAUUUAUUAUAGACAUAUGCAUCGACAACCGCCCUUUUAAAGUUUUUAUAAAUGAAGAGGAAGAGGGGGUUGGAGAUCUCAAAUGUGGUAAGGAUGGAGAGACAAAUUGAUUGGAGAGAUGUUUUAUAUGAGCAAGGACUGGGUGAGGUAUUUAUGGAAUAACUUCCAUGCUCACUGUUGUUCCUCUCAUUCUCAAACUCCAAGGAUGAUUCUUCAUGAAUGCUUAAAAUUCCUCUAGGAUUGUCUCUCAAGUUUGUUUUAUCUAUCCAUUCAAUGUGAUAGCACAUGGAUUUUUAAUGCCCUCUAUCCAUUGAUGUUGCUCUUCUCGAUCCUCCUUCUUAUGCAUGGGAUGUCUAGAGAGAUUCAUAGGAUUAUCGGGAGGUUCAAGAGAAAAAGCAUAGUAGAAUUUAUUAAGCUCAAGGAUGGGUUGGAUAGCCGAAUUAUGGGAUUGAAAUGUUUGGAAAUCGGCUAUUGAAACUUCCUCUCCUUGUAUGGGAGAUGAUUCCUUCUCUAUCUCUAAGAUUUUUCUAUGAAGACUAGUGCAAGAAGGAUGUCUAUGAAUGAAGACAUACCUUCCUUCACUAACAGAUAAAGAAAGAAAGACUCUACCAAAGGUUAUAUGACUAAGACCAAUGUGAAAAUAUCUAGGAAAAACAUGGUCUUGUAGGGCUAGGUCUAAACCAGAAUUUAUAGAAAAAUUAACAGAUUCCCUAGGUGUAGCUAAAAGUGCAUUAUCUUUUUGAUUAAAAGAUAGGACCUCGGCUAUAGAAAAGGGUUGGUUUUGACCUAUUGCAAUCAACUCCGGACACAGAUCAUAAUUAGGGGCAGGACGUGUUGACUCCCAUGGUCUAUGGCUGGUCUCUGAAGGUGCAAAGAAUUUAAUAAUAGGUAUGGAAUUUGAGUUAUCCACAAAGAUAAAAAUAAAAAGAUAAAAGAAUAAAAGUAUAAAAGUAUAAUACAAGAUAAUAGCAAGAUUCAAAGUUAUCUCAGCAAACCGUCUUUCUCCCCGGCAACGGCGCCAGAAAUGCUUGUUGAUAUUUGGUAACGCAAUAAGGAAACGAUCCGCAAGCGCACGGAUAUCGGUGAGCAUUUCACCCGAGAGGUUAUCCAGAGUUAUCGUAUUUAUAUUUUUACCACUGGGAGAAAGGGUGCAUCUGACUAACCAAAUCUAUUGCUACUAUCCCUUUAGGCUACAAAGAAUGUCUCUCGAUGUGAGUGAUAAAUAGAGAAGACUGCAACCGUAGUCUCCUUCUAACCUUGGUAAGGAUAAUCUUACUGUUCUAAUGGGGAGGCUAACGGAAUCUAGACACCACAAAGGAUGUUCAACCCGCACCUAUAAACCCUAUCCUUCCUACUAACGAGAUGUGAUCUGCAAAGGUAAUUCGGAAUUGUCACGUUCCUCACUACUACCACGGUCCAGCUAGUCAGGGAAUAUCUAUCAGUACCCCAGCCUAAACACCAUGUUUACGCCAGUAAUGAUUACUCUAAACUCUACGCGAAGAGAUUAAAGUAAACUCAUAAACCAUAAGAACAAUAAAACAAGAACUUACUAGAAUUUAGAAGUCGAAAUACUGAAGAAUCCUAGGAGCAAGCUUCGGGUUAGGAGAACUUGAUCUCGUAGGUACAAGCUUGGAGUAGACACCGACAGGCCGGGCUUCCUCCAAUCAACACCUCCACUCUAUCUCUCUCAAUCUAGUAGAAACUAGAAGAUCUAUUUCUACUUUACAUUGGUUGCUAAGCCUAAAAAGAAAUAUUAAUUAGAGAAGAGGUUUUCCUUCGAGGGCACCCCUCAGUCUCUAUGAUAAUUUCUUCAUGUCUUCUCCAGGGGCCAGGGGGUCUCCUUAUAUAGUCCUCCCCUUCUAUGCAUUUUUGGGUCGGUAGGCGAUGUGGUACUAUGUUAUUCUGGAUCCAAUAGGUCGGUGGAGAUCUCCCGAGAGAAAGAGUCCUGAUUGGGCUCAACAGGUGGGCGGGCGCCCAAGGAAACUGGGCGAGCGCCCAGGUCCUGGCCCCGUUUCGCCUCCGCUUCGGUCUCGUGGCUUCUGGAGUCUUCUAGAUGGUAGAAAAUUGCGCGGUGCGUUGAUAUCUCUAUGUAAUCCUGACAUGUGGGCCUUUCUUCCUUAUUUCCUGAUAACCCCCUGCAGAAAUAGACAAACACCAAAACUCGUGGAAUUCUGUCAGAUAAAACCCUAAGUCUAGAUGUUGAUUUCAUUUGGAUCCUUUUCUUUGUUUAUUUGAUAAUUAAAUUUGAUACUUAAGGACCGUCAACACUUGAUGUAAAGUCUAAGUCGUUAACGGAUAUGAUAUGGGAAGGUUGAGCUGCUGUUUAUCUGUUCCUAGAGAUGCUAGAAUUCUGGAGAAUUUUAUCUUUGAAAAUCUUUAAAAUGUUGCAUGAUGAGUUCCUGUAUGAUGAGAGUUUAAAUUCCUACCACAGCCAUAUAUACAUGCUUGCUAGACUUUGAGCCACACAUUUACUUUUUACUCCUUAUGAGCAUUGAGUGCGGUCAAGCUGUGUAGACCCUUAGGAGCUUGUCAUGUGGUUAAAUCAAGAUUCACUUGCACGUUCACUCACACAUGCUGCUUCUACUCCGGAAGUACGCAUCCACAUAUAUCCACCCAUUUCCAUCUCUAGAAUCACCUAAAAAUAUUCUACUCCUAACCCGGGAGAGAAUAGCUAAAAACAUUUCUGUUUUUCCUUGUGAAAUAAACGCUCAAGUUAUCUUGGUUACUACCACUUGCUAUAUUAUUUCAAGAGAUGAGUGCUUUAAAAUAAGAGAAAAAAGAAAAAAAUAUGAGGAAAUAAAAGGGGCAAGUGCCCGGAACCUCGAAAGAAAACAGAAAGUGAGACGAGAGGUAAAAAUGGACAAGUGUCUGUUGACGGUCCUUAAUGCUCACAAUUAACCAUCAACUAAUCAUAGAAAAGGAUCCAAAUGCAACCAACACCUAGACUUAGGCUUUUAUCUGACAGAAUUCCACAAGUUUUGGUGUUUGUCUAUUUCUGCAGGGGGUUAUCAGGAAAUACGGAAGAAAGGCCCACACGUCGGGUUUACAUAGAGAUAUUAACGUGUCGCGCAAUUUUCUAUCAUCUAGAAGACUCCAGAAGCCACGGGAACGAACGGGAAGGAAAUCGGGCUCGGAGGCAGGGCGCCCGCCCAACUCUCCUGGGCGCCCGCCCAGCUACAGUGCCCAAUCAGGAUACGUUUCGCGGACAACGCUCCACCGACAUAAAGGAUCAAGGAAAACCAUGUGAUUAAUGUCGGUUUGAUCCGACGGCCCAGAUUCACUUGAAGGGACUAUAAAACCAGACCCCCUGGCCCCUGGAGAUCAUACCUCUUCUACAGAAUCAAAGCUAGGGUUUUAAUUCUUCAUCCAAGUAGAGAGGAUCCCUCUAGUUCUUCUAGUUCUACCUCUAGUUCAUCUGGAUCUAGUUCUAGUUCAUCUAGUUCUAGUUCUAGUUCCUCUAGUUCUAGUUCUAGUUAGUUCUAGUUGUAAUCUAGAAAAUAGGGAGAGAGAAGAGGAGAGCGGAGGAGGAGGAGCCGGAUCUGUCGGAUCUUCCUCAACAUUGUACUUUUGCAGCAACUGGUUCGUUCUUCAUCGUUCUCCAGGUUCUUCAAUUCAUAAUUCCUGAGUUCUCUAAUUACUUUUAUUUACAUUCAAGUUAUUUAUUGGAUUCCCGCCUGCAUCAAGUGCUCUAGUCUUUGAAACAUUAGAGUAGUAAUUAAUAGAUUAGACGUGGUGUUUAGUCUUGCGAUUACCUGGAAUUGCACCCAAUCCUGCGGAUUGUUGUGGUAGCCUUAGGGUAGUGACAGCCUUAACGGUCGACGUAUUCCACCACGUUCGGAUCGGUGUUUGUAGGACCGUAGUCAGACCUUCCUAGCCGCCUUCUCAUCUCUUUCCGUGGUUAGUGCUCUGAUGUCCCGAUAUAGAUGAUCUUGAGGUAAUUCUUGAUUCUUAGAUCAACUAGAGAACUCUCAGGAAACUUCCUCUCUUCCCACCAAAAAAUAAUCAUUUAGUUAUCCUUGGGCGAUCUUGGAUCUUAAUUAGUACACUCACGUUCUCUGUGGAAAAUCGAUACUCUGGAAUACUCCCGGGUGAAGGCUACAUCGGUAUCCGUGCGCUUGCGGAUUUUUCUGUUUGCGUUUAAAAUACCCAACAGUGUCCGACAGUAGAAUUAGGGGUACAAGAUACCCACCUGAGAGAAAAGAAAAAAAAAGAAAAGAAAAUAUAGAGCAUCUCGUUCCCCUCAAAAAGUUUCAAAAGAGCAAGAAAGGUAUGUAUCCCCUCAAAAGAGCAAAAGUAGAAUUAGACUUUCACCAUUGUUAUCACCAUUAUCACCAUAAACCAUUCAUUCGCCACACAUGCACAUCUUGAUUUGACUUAUUGACUUGAUCUUUUGGAUCCAUGGUUUGACUAUGCAAUAAAUGUCUUGUAAGUGUGUAUUAUCUGUCUCCCACCUAUGAGCUCCAGAUAUCAAAAGCCUUAUUAGAGUAGGGUGAGAGAGAAGACAAUGUCACUAUGCCUCAUACCAAAAAUACCACAUACUUUGAGAGAAGGCAUACACCAUUACUGCCUUGGCAAGGAUCCAGAAAUACCACAAAAGAGAGACUAGAGAGAGUCAUACAAGGAAUUUCUGAGUUUUAUUUGAAAAUCUGCAAAAACUCCAGAGCUAUAGUUAAUCGAAGAAAAAGAGACAUGGCGCUUGACUAGACCGUUCUAUCUUUUAACUACUCAAGACACAAGUGACGGUUGCAAGCCCCAUGGUGGAAGGAAAAAUGAGUAAAUUUAAAUCUUAACAGUUUACCCUAACCCAGAGAUGAGAUCUUGUUUGAACGCAUGUAUUGAAACCACUGCAGAAAUUCUUGAGUUCAUCUUUGCUCAGGGACGAGCAAAGGUUAAGCUUGGGGGAGCUUGUUGACGGUCCUUAAUGCUCACAUUUAACCAUCAACUAAUCAUGGAAAAAGACUUAUAUGCAGCCAACACCUAGACUUAGGGUUUUAUCUGAUAGAAUUCCACGAGUUUUGGUGUUUGUCUAUUUCUGCAGGGGGUUAUCAGGAAAUAUGAAAGAAAGGCCCACACGUCGGGUUUACAUAGAGAUAUUAACGUGCCACGCAAUUUUCUACCAUCUAGAAGACUCCAGAAGCCACGGGAACGAACGGGAGGCCGAUCGGGCCCGGCUGCAGGGAGCCUGCCCAAGUCCCUUGGGUGCCCCACCAGCUACAGUAACCAAUCAGCUUCAACUUCGCGGAUCGUGCUCCACCGACCUAAGGGACCAAGAAAAACCGUGCGAUUAAUGUCGGUUUGAUCCGACGGCCCAGAUUCAUCUGAAAAGACUAUAUAAGCAAGGCCCCCUGGCCCCUGGAGAGCAUACCUCUUCUACAGAAUCAAAGUUAGGGUUUCAAUUCUUCAUCCAAGUAGAGAGGAUCCCUAUAGUUCUUCUAGUUCUACCUCUAGUUCAUCUAGUUCUAGUUCUAGUUUAUCUAGUUCUAGUUCUAGUUCCUCUAGUUCUAGUUCUAGUUAGUUCUAGUAGUAAUCUAGAAAAUAGGGAGAGAGAAGAGGAGAGCGG
This 29987-nucleotide long non-coding RNA is filed under the name Sorghum bicolor (sorghum). RNAcentral's name for it is "long non-coding RNA (SBIC_LNC004655)". Lineage: Eukaryota; Viridiplantae; Streptophyta; Magnoliopsida; Poales; Poaceae. The record is from RNAcentral.